GUUAUCUGCCCAUCAUGACAAUUUUCAUCAUAAAUUAAUCUACAGAGUGUUUUCUCAAGAGUUUAUUUUUGCUCUGUCUAUAAAUGUCAAGUGAAACUGGAAGGAGCUGAAAACUCAAAGAAAGAGAAGCAUUUACACACGAGGUGCUAAACUCAGCUGGGGCGGAACCAAUCUGCGGCUGCAGGUUUGCCGCCGGCGGCAUAAAAGGGGACACACGUAGCACCGAGGAGGAAAGUGGCCGUGAGUUUCUGUUGGGAAGAGCAUCAAGAUCUGCGGCAAACUGUGCAGGACUGCUUUCAUCUACAAAAUCCGAGUUGCAGCCGGUGGAUGUGGCUAAUAUCUGACCAUGGUGAAAUCGUGUGCUGCCAUCUCCUGCACCAAUCGAUUUGUGCGUGGCUGUAAUAUAUCCUUUCAUAAGUUUCCCAAGCAGUCCAAGGACAGCACACUGAGAGAUCAAUGGAUACAGGCCAUCAGUAGAGAAGCGGUGGGGACCAAGAAGAGAUGGAUCCCAGGGGAUCAUUAUUAUGUAUGCAGCAACCAUUUCAGGGAGGAGGACUUCAUCCUCUCAAAACAUGCGCAACACAAGCUUCUCAGGCCAGGAGCUGUACCAUCCCUCAAUUUGGGGAAACCAGAGAAAAAGAUCGCAGUGAGGACAACCCAAACCAGCCAGGCAGCAGUGCCAUUCGACCAGCACAUCGACAUAGAGCCUGAAGAGGGCAGUGCUGCUGUUACUGAAGACCAUGCAUACUGUACAGACAUUAACACCCUGAAGAGGAAAUAUGACAAUCUAAGUGUACAGCAUGAAAAGCUGAGGCAGGACUUCAACAAUGCCAAACGUAGAGAGAAGCGCUACAGAGUGACAUUGGAGGCCAUGUUAGCUAAAACCAAGGAAUACUACAACUAAAGAACAAUGGAGGUCUUGUGGUGCCCUCAGAUGAUGUUGUUAAACUUGUGAAUCCCUGUGAAGUUGUGCUCAGAUCUUCAGCUGAUGUGAAACAUGUCUGAAGUGGGCACUGGGAACAAAUGACAGGCUGAAACUGUUGGCUGGCUUGCCAUCUGACUUGUUUGCUUCAUUGCAAGAUCACUUUGCUGCCACUGCUCAAGGAAUUGAUACUCAUUUCGCCACCUUUGUUUGUUUGAGAAGAUUUCACACUGUAAAUUUGAUGAACAUCAAGCUACAGGGAGUGUCUGUGAGGAAGUCCUUUACUAAAACAGUUCUAUUUAGAAAUCUGUGACUUCCCAAUAUCCUUAGUAUUUCCAUCAAUGCCUAUAAAUUCCUGUAUAUUUUGAAGCCUUUGGAUGCACUGAAAAUUAGUAAUUUGUUCACUUUGUGAAAAUUAUGUAGAAAAGUACACUUUUGGUGAGAUUUAAAAAGCCAUGCAUUUCAUAUCGUCAAAUUGCUUUUCUCGAAAUAAUUUUGGCAUGCUAUUUCUAUGAAAAUAGGUUACUUCAUAAGUUUCAAACUGAAACAUUUUGUUUUUGCUCUGAAGCUGGUGUUUUAUAGCAAAUUGUUCAUGGAAUUUUAUUGUGAAAUAUAUACAUUUCCUACAAUACUCCUAUAUUUUCUCAGAGAAUACUUUUAUAUUCUCAUAUUUCUGUCAAGUGCACUUGAUACCCUGUAAAUAUUUUACUGGAACACGGAUUUUUUCUAACUGAACCUACAAGUGGUGUAGCUAUUGUAAUGCAAUUUAGCAACACAAACUUUUGUCUAGGUGGUGUAUUUUAUAUUUUUUGGUAACAAGUUGGAGCAGUAUUCCAUUGUAAAAAUAAAUGCUUUCAAUGGUUUCCUUCAUUA
Acanthochromis polyacanthus (spiny chromis) is the source of this 1795-nucleotide long non-coding RNA. RefSeq lists it as uncharacterized. Lineage: Eukaryota; Metazoa; Chordata; Actinopteri; Pomacentridae. The record is from RefSeq and is a predicted model, not a curated record. The transcript is spliced from 4 exons.